CAACCCUCGAGCCCCUCCGGGGGGUCGGCGUUGGGGAUCGGCCCUCCCUCGCGGGGGCCGGCCCCGAAAUCCAGUGGCGGUCUCGCCGCAGCCUCUCCUGCGCAGUAGUUUGCACAACUCGCACCGGGAGCGCGGCGGGCCCAUGCCGUAAAACAACCCAACCUUCUGAAA
RNAcentral lists this unclassified non-coding RNA (171 nucleotides) under Trichoderma aerugineum. RNAcentral describes it as "partial internal transcribed spacer 2". The record is from RNAcentral. Lineage: Eukaryota; Fungi; Ascomycota; Sordariomycetes; Hypocreales; Hypocreaceae.